GGCUGUCACAAGGGUGGGUUUCCUACCCAGAGAUCCUGCUUUCUGGAGGGUUUGGCAAGCUCUGAUCCUUGGGAAAGCAGCCUUUGGCAUCCUUCACAUCAGCUCAGGAGCGCUGUGUUGAAAGUCCUUGCUCCUACUUGGCAGGAUGGUGUAUCCACCAAGCCAUCGAGCUCUGAUGAAGCAUCAGUUCAUCAUCAUCUGACAGAUACAGGAUAAGAACUCCUCAUGUAAACUCCUUUGCUAUCACACAUCUGCAUGAGCAUGGACAGCUUCUCCUCAUCCAGGAUGGCUGAAGACAGUAUGUGUAGGAAAAAUGAAAGUGGUUAAAUCACUCAGGACUGACUGAAGACAGAUAUGAAUUCUGGUCUCCCAGGAUGAAAGUUGCUCACAUGACCACCCUGGAGAACACUUUAGUGGGAGGUUUUUCCAAACACUUGG
This 438-nucleotide long non-coding RNA is filed under the name Gallus gallus (chicken). RNAcentral's name for it is "lncRNA (ENSGALG00010022457.1)". Lineage: Eukaryota; Metazoa; Chordata; Aves; Galliformes; Phasianidae. The record is from RNAcentral.